This 396-nucleotide ribosomal RNA is filed under the name uncultured bacterium. Its description in RNAcentral is "bacterial SSU rRNA". It matches the Rfam family "Bacterial small subunit ribosomal RNA", at positions 30 to 430 of the family's 1533-position model. The record is from RNAcentral.
AUUGAACGCUGGCGGCAUGCCUUACACAUGCAAGUCGAACGGCAGCGGACCUUCGGGUGCCGGCGAGUGGCGAACGGGUGAGUAAUAUAUCGGAACGUACCUUUCAGUGGGGGAUAACGUAGCGAAAGUUACGCUAAUACAGCAUAUUCUGUGAGCAGGAAAGCAGGGGAUCGCAAGACCUUGCGCUGAUUGAGCGGCCGAUAUCAGAUUAGCUAGUUGGCGAGGUAAAGGCUCACCAAGGCGACGAUCUGUAGCGGGUCUGAGAGGAUGAUCCGCCACACUGGAACUGAGACACGGUCCAGACUCCUACGGGAGGCAGCAGUGGGGAAUUUUGGACAAUGGGCGCAAGCCUGAUCCAGCCAUGCCGCGUGAGUGAAGAAGGCCUCGGUUGUAAAG